This 302-nucleotide ribosomal RNA is filed under the name uncultured bacterium. Its description in RNAcentral is "partial 16S ribosomal RNA". It matches the Rfam family "Bacterial small subunit ribosomal RNA", at positions 508 to 807 of the family's 1533-position model. The record is from RNAcentral.
GCAGCCGCCGCGGGAAUACAGAGGGUGCGAGCGUUAAUCGGAUUUACUGGGCGUAAAGCGUGCGUAGGCGGCUUCUUAAGUCGGAUGUGAAAUCCCUGAGCUUAACUUAGGAAUUGCAUUCGAUACUGGGAAGCUAGAGUAUGGGAGAGGAUGGUAGAAUUCCAGGUGUAGCGGUGAAAUGCGUAGAGAUCUGGAGGAAUACCGAUGGCGAAGGCAGCCAUCUGGCCUAAUACUGACGCUGAGGUACGAAAGCAUGGGGAGCAAACAGGAUUAGAUACCCGGGUAGUCCCUGUCUCUUAUAC